RNAcentral lists this ribosomal RNA (431 nucleotides) under uncultured bacterium. Its description in RNAcentral is "bacterial SSU rRNA". It matches the Rfam family "Bacterial small subunit ribosomal RNA", at positions 30 to 470 of the family's 1533-position model. The record is from RNAcentral.
AUUGAACGCUGGCGGCAGGCUUAACACAUGCAAGUCGAACGGUAGCGGGCCUUCGGGUGCCGACGAGUGGCGAACGGGUGAGUAAUGUAUCGGAACGUACCAUUGAGUGGGGGAUAACGUAGCGAAAGUUACGCUAAUACCGCAUAUUCUCUCCGGAGGAAAGCAGGGGACCGCAAGGCCUUGCGCUCUUUGAGCGGCCGAUAUCAGAUUAGCUAGUUGGUGAGGUAAAGGCUCACCAAGGCGACGAUCUGUAGCGGGUCUGAGAGGAUGAUCCGCCACACUGGAACUGAGACACGGUCCAGACUCCUACGGGAGGCAGCAGUGGGGAAUUUUGGACAAUGGGGGCAACCCUGAUCCAGCCAUGCCGCGUGAGUGAAGAAGGCCUGGUGUAAGACUCUUCGUCGGACGAAGUACGUAUCAGCUAAUACCUA